Molecule: ribosomal RNA, 499 nt
Filed under: uncultured bacterium
Lineage: Bacteria
Description: partial 16S ribosomal RNA
Rfam family: Bacterial small subunit ribosomal RNA
Source: RNAcentral
GACGAACGCUGGCGGCGUGCCUAAUACAUGCAAGUCGAGCGAAGUUUUUCUGGUGCUUGCACUAGAAAAACUUAGCGGCGCACGGGUGAGUAACACGUAAAGAACCUGCCUCAUAGACUGGGACAACUAUUGGAAACGAUAUCUAAUACCGGAUAACAGUAUUUCUCGCAUGAGAGAUAUUUAAAAGUUGGUUAUGCUAACACUAUGAGAUGGCUUUGCGGUGCAUUAGCUAGUUGGUGGGGUAAAGGCCCACCAAGGCGACGAUGCAUAGCCGACCUGAGAGGGUGAUCGGCCACACUGGAACUGAGACACGGCCCAGACUCCUACGGGAGGCAGCAGUAGGGAAUCUUCCGCAAAGGACGAAAGCCUGACGGAGCAACGCCGCGUGAGUGAAGAAGGAUUUCGGUUCGUAAAGCUCUGUUGUUAGGGAAGAAUGGAUAUGUAGUAACUAUACAUGUAAGAGACGGUACCUAACCAGAAAGCCACGGCUAACUACGUG